CCGCCCUGCCGCCGGCCUGGGCGUCAGUAGCGCGGGGUCCUGCCCGUGAGCCGCUUGGAGUUUGUGAGACUCAUGGCUUAGACCCCUGGCUUUUGUGUUUAGUUUGGUUUCCACCCAUCCUAACUGCAGCGAAAAAGCUUUGAGACCAGAGCUCCAGGACAAAACCCCAAAGUUUGGUUUGGAGCAUUGUAAGAAGAGGAACGAAGGACAAACAUUCUGGCUAGCACCCACUGUGCUAAUAGAAAACAUGACAAACACCACUUUGCCAUUAACUGUUCAUCACCAGCACUCUGCUGCGAGCUGCCCCCCUUCAUAGGAGCAUUUCUUUGCCUAAUCCUCUCCAACAAGGUGUGUAACUCACUCAAAAUCAAUAGUGGCACGAACUCAUUUGGUCUCUCCUAGGACAACAGAAUUUGCCAGCUCAUCAGAAGGACCUUCAUGACGUUGGCUGGCAAAACCUUGCUGGUCUUUAGAGUUGCGUUUGACGUGGCAUAACGAAAUGCUAACCUGACCUCAUCAGCUUAGAUACCUCCCUGUCCUUUGGGAAAACAGAGUUGUGCAAUACAGCCUGUUUUAAUAACUGCUGGCAAAUGCAGAUCAACCUUUUCAGUCCAGCAAUCGCAGACAAGACAGAGCUCAAAGUGUAGCUGUAGGCCUUACUUACUGAACAGUAUUCCAGUCCUGCUCUGGAGAUGUGAUUGGAUUUCCUCACGGGAUCUCCAAUUGUGCUCACAGUAUCUUCAAGUGCCUCCAAAAUAGUAGACUACUAUGAGAUGAAGUAUUCCUGAUUUUACCAUUAGAAAGCUGAGCUGUGGAAAGGCCAAGCAGAAGGACUCACUCAACUCACUUCAGUUUGAAAAUACUUCAAGAAGAAGCCACUCCUUGUAAGGAAUUUCACUUGAAAGAAGACACUUUGUUUCCAAAAUAAAGAUGUUCUUGAAGAA
Molecule: long non-coding RNA, 944 nt
Organism: Manacus vitellinus (golden-collared manakin)
Lineage: Eukaryota; Metazoa; Chordata; Aves; Passeriformes; Pipridae
Exons: 5
Source: RefSeq, a predicted model, not a curated record